CUCCUCAGCAAUCCCAAAGGUAAGGAGGCUGUGGGAUUAAAUUUAAAAAAACCGUGUGUGUGUGUUAGAGUGUGUCAGUGAGUGUGUUAGUGUGUGAGUCUGUUUGGUGUCUGUUAGUGAGUGUGUGUUUUGUAAGUGAGUGUGUAUGUAUGUCACUGAGUGUGUGUCUGUCAGUAAAUGUGCGUGUCUGUUAGCUAGUGUGUAUGCAUCUGUUCGUGAG
Molecule: non-coding RNA, 220 nt
Organism: Pelobates cultripes (western spadefoot toad)
Lineage: Eukaryota; Metazoa; Chordata; Amphibia; Anura; Pelobatidae
Source: the annotation of a GenBank genome assembly